GGUUGACCUCGGAUCAGGUAGGGAUACCCGCUGAACUUAAGCAUUC
This 46-nucleotide ribosomal RNA is filed under the name Septoria sp. Slp-1. Its description in RNAcentral is "partial 28S ribosomal RNA". The record is from RNAcentral. Lineage: Eukaryota; Fungi; Ascomycota; Dothideomycetes; Mycosphaerellales; Mycosphaerellaceae.